GAUGAAGAACGUAGCGAAAUGCGAUACGUAAUGUGAAUUGCAGAAUUCAGUGAAUCAUCGAAUCUUUGAACGCAUAUUGCGCUCUCUGGUAUUCCGGAGAGCAUGCUUGUUUGAGUAUCAGUAAACACCUCAACUCCCUUUUCUUUUUUGAAAUUGGAGCUGGACUUGAGUGAUCCCAACGCUUUCUUCCAAGAAAGUGGCGGGUUGCUUGAAAUGCAGGUGCAGCUGGACUUUUAUCUGAGCUAAAAGCAUAUCUAUUUAGUCCUCGUCAAACAGGAUUAUUACUUUUGCUGCAGCUAACAUAAAGGAUAAUUGUCCUCUUUGCUGACUGAUGCAGGAUUUUACGACACUUUAUGUGUUGUUCAACUCGAUCUCAAAUCAAGUAAGACUACCCGCUGAACUUAAGCAUAUCAAUAAGCGGAGGA
This 425-nucleotide unclassified non-coding RNA is filed under the name soil metagenome. Its description in RNAcentral is "partial contains 5.8S ribosomal RNA, internal transcribed spacer 2, and large subunit ribosomal RNA". The stretch from base 1 to 120 matches the Rfam family "5.8S ribosomal RNA", at positions 35 to 154 of the family's 154-position model. The record is from RNAcentral.